Molecule: ribosomal RNA, 253 nt
Filed under: uncultured bacterium
Lineage: Bacteria
Description: partial 16S ribosomal RNA
Rfam family: Bacterial small subunit ribosomal RNA
Source: RNAcentral
UACGUAGGGUGCGAGCGUUAUUCGGAAUUACUGGGCGUAAAGCGUGCGCAGGCGGUUCGGUGUGUCUGAUGUGAAAGCCCCGGGCUCAACCUGGGAAUGGCAUUGGAAACUGGCGAGCUAGAGUGUGGCAGAGGGGGGUGGAAUUCCGCGUGUAGCAGUGAAAUGCGUAGAGAUGCGGAGGAACACCGAUGGCGAAGGCAGCCCCCUGGGCUGACACUGACGCUCAGGCACGAAAGCGUGGGGAGCAAACAGG